Molecule: ribosomal RNA, 492 nt
Filed under: Streptococcus mutans
Lineage: Bacteria; Bacillati; Bacillota; Bacilli; Lactobacillales; Streptococcaceae
Description: bacterial SSU rRNA
Rfam family: Bacterial small subunit ribosomal RNA
Source: RNAcentral
GACGAACGCGGGCGGCGUGCUUAAUACAUGCAAGUGGGACGCAAGGGAACACACUGUGCUUGCACACCGUGUUUUCUUGAGUCGCGAACGGGUGAGUAACGCGUAGGUAACCUGCCUAUUAGCGGGGGAUAACUAUUGGAAACGAUAGCUAAUACCGCAUAAUAUUAAUUAUUGCAUGAUAAUUGAUUGAAAGAUGCAAGCGCAUCACUAGUAGAUGGACCUGCGUUGUAUUAGCUAGUUGGUAAGGUAAGAGCUUACCAAGGCGACGAUACAUAGCCGACCUGAGAGGGUGAUCGGCCACACUGGGACUGAGACACGGCCCAGACUCCUACGGGAGGCAGCAGUAGGGAAUCUUCGGCAAUGGACGAAAGUCUGACCGAGCAACGCCGCGUGAGUGAAGAAGGUUUUCGGAUCGUAAAGCUCUGUUGUAAGUCAAGAACGUGUGUGAGAGUGGAAAGUUCACACAGUGACGGAGCUACCAGAAAGGACGCA